AGUAGCUCAGCGGAAGAGCAGUUGACUGUUAAUCAAUUGGUCGUAGGUUCGAUCCCUACCU
RNAcentral lists this transfer RNA (61 nucleotides) under pig gut metagenome. It matches the Rfam family "tRNA", at positions 6 to 65 of the family's 71-position model. Rfam says of the family: Transfer RNA (tRNA) molecules are approximately 80 nucleotides in length. Their secondary structure includes four short double-helical elements and three loops (D, anti-codon, and T loops). The record is from RNAcentral.